Molecule: ribosomal RNA, 424 nt
Filed under: uncultured bacterium
Lineage: Bacteria
Description: bacterial SSU rRNA
Rfam family: Bacterial small subunit ribosomal RNA
Source: RNAcentral
GGAAUAUUGCACAAUGGGCGAAAGCCUGAUGCAGCGACGCCGCGUGGAGGAUGAAGGUCUUCGGAUUGUAAACUCCUGUUAAAUGGGAAAAAAGAGCUCUUCUGAAUAAGAAGAGAAGAUGAUUGUACUAUUAAAGAAAGCACCGGCUAACUUCGUGCCAGCAGCCGCGGUAAUACGAGGGGUGCAAGCGUUAUUCGGAUUUAUUGGGCGUAAAGGGUGUGUAGGCGGUUUUUUAAGUCAUUUAUUAAAUACCUUGGCUUAACCAAGGAAAUGUGGGUGAAACUAGAAGACUAGAGUGUGGAAGAGAGAAGUGGAAUUCUCGGAGUAGCGGUAAAAUGCGUAGAUCUCGAGAGGAACACCGAUGGCGAAGGCAGCUUCUUGGUCCAUUACUGACGCUGAAACACGAAAGCGUGGGGAGCAAACA